GCGGAUGUCGUAGCGUUUAGGCACUGCAAAUUUGGGGAGGCGAGGCUGUCCUUUGAAUUGAUCCAUUUCUUUCUUUCGGAUUUGUUCUAUUUGCUUCCUCAUUGCCCUUUGAUUCCAUUUCCAUAUAAUCCACAAGCAAGCCAAAACAACAGUUGCGCCCGCAAGCAAAAUCACCAUCCUGUCCAUCACACCGUUCUCCAUGAUAAAUCACUACCCACUUUCACAGCUUUUUUUGUUCUCG
This 241-nucleotide unclassified non-coding RNA is filed under the name Hevea brasiliensis (rubber tree). Lineage: Eukaryota; Viridiplantae; Streptophyta; Magnoliopsida; Malpighiales; Euphorbiaceae. The record is from RNAcentral.